This is a microRNA precursor of Monodelphis domestica (gray short-tailed opossum), 68 nucleotides long. The record is from Ensembl. NCBI's taxonomy places the organism in Eukaryota, Metazoa, Chordata, Mammalia, Didelphimorphia, Didelphidae.
AAGGAUAUAUGGCCUUGGGUUAUAUAGUCCAUUCCUCCUCUACUUGACCCAAGAUCAUAUAUCCUUUU